Molecule: ribosomal RNA, 780 nt
Filed under: Neocallimastix frontalis
Lineage: Eukaryota; Fungi; Neocallimastigomycota; Neocallimastigomycetes; Neocallimastigales; Neocallimastigaceae
Description: partial large subunit ribosomal RNA
Rfam family: Eukaryotic large subunit ribosomal RNA
Source: RNAcentral
GCAUAUCAAUAAGCGGAGGAAAAGAAACUAACAAGGAUUCCCUUAGUAACGGCGAGUGAAGCGGGAAGAGCUCAAAUUUGAAAUCUUCAAGGUUCUACCUUGACGAAUUGUAGUUUAAAGAAGUGUUUUCUGUUAGAUGAGUAGCAAAAGUUCCUUGGAAUGGGACAUCAUAGAGGGUGAGAAUCCCGUAUUUGGUUAUUCAUUCUAGCUUUGUGAUACACUUUCAAAGAGUCGGAUUGUUUGGGAAUGCAGUCCAAAAUGGGUGGUAAAUCUCAUCUAAAGCUAAAUAUUGGCGAGAGACCGAUAGCGAACAAGUACCGUGGGGGAAAGAUGAAAAGAACUUUGAAAAGAGAGUUAAACAGUACGUGAAAUUGUCAAAAGGGAAGCGUUUGACACCAGUGUUGUUUUUCCGAAAAUCAAUUACGAAUGGCUUGAUUUUGUGUUGUAUUGACCUUAUCAGCUUUCUGCACUUUUUUCGAGUCUUUCUUAAUGCACUUUUUGGUUAACAAGUCAACAUCAAUUUCUUUUGUUGUAAAAGAGUAUUCGGAAGGUGGCUUUCUUUUCGGAGAAAGUGUUUAUAGCCCUAUACUUCUACAAUCGGAGAGAUUGAGGUCUGCAGCGUAGAUCCUUCGGGGUUAGAUACAUUUGUGCUAAGUUGUAGCUUUUCAUAGACAACUUGUUGACUAUGUUUAGUCAUGCGGCUUACUCGCUUAUGCUAUUUUACCUACGCUUAGGAUGUUGACAAAAUGGUUUUAAACGACCCGUCUUGAAACACGGACC